CUACAUAAAAAUUCCGAACAUCUAAAUAAAAUAUUAGAAUCUUCCUUACUGAUAUAAAGUAGAAUAAUUAACAUGAAAUAUUUUGAAUAAAACCAAAUUUUUUCGAAUAGACUACAUAUAAAUUCCGAACAUCUAAAUAAAAUCUUUGUUACUAACUACGAUGCACGGAUUCAUGCAAAAACAACACCGUGCAGUAUCCGAUUCGCGCGGGGGACGGGUGCGGGCGUGAUUCGCGUGGGAUUCGCACGGGAUUCGCCACCUAGUGAAUCCCCCCAAAAAUUAAAAAAAAAAACUGGAUUCGCGAAUCGGGAUUCUCUCUCUCUUCACAUAGCAGACAUGGCGGUGGUGGCCGGUGGCUAUGGCGGCUCUGCCGUCCUGUUUCCAUCGGCGAGGACGAAGGCAUUAACGGCGUAUCGCGGUGGUGGCUGAUGUGCCAUGUUUCCGAGAGAGAGAGAGAGGUUUAGAGAAGAGACAAGUGAGGGUCAGAGAGUAGGAGACUUCAGGGAGGGAGAGAGAGAAGGAGUCGCCGCUCGCCGGCGGCGAAAGCGACGCCGUUGAACGGCGGCGGCGGAGACAGAGGGAGGCCGAGAGAGGGAUGAGAUGAGAGGGUGCCGCGGGUAUGUGUGUUGAGUGUGUGUGUGAUGGAAUGUGUUUAAGUGUGUGUUAUUUUAGGUUAAGUAUUAAAAUGGGCUUUGGGCCCCUUCUUUUAUUGAAAUGGGCUGGGUCUUCAUAGUGUUGAAUUCUUUAUGAUGGGCUGCAAAAUUGUGUUUUUAGUGUUGAAUCUUUUAUGAUGG
RNAcentral lists this long non-coding RNA (794 nucleotides) under Salvia miltiorrhiza (redroot sage). RNAcentral's name for it is "long non-coding RNA (SMIL_LNC013453)". Lineage: Eukaryota; Viridiplantae; Streptophyta; Magnoliopsida; Lamiales; Lamiaceae. The record is from RNAcentral.